Thalassophryne amazonica is the source of this 925-nucleotide long non-coding RNA. RefSeq lists it as uncharacterized. The record is from RefSeq and is a predicted model, not a curated record. The transcript is spliced from 2 exons. NCBI's taxonomy places the organism in Eukaryota, Metazoa, Chordata, Actinopteri, Batrachoidiformes, Batrachoididae.
CACAUCAGUCAUUCAACAUCUGUUGUUUCUGUUAGGUUUAUCAAACACUUGGAUCGUGGUUACAACUCCUGUGCCAGAACAGACCUGUUCUUCAUUCCACUUGCAUCUUCUAAGCUGGCCAAAAAAAGGGAGGAGGCCGUAGAAAGAUGCAGAAGGGAGGCUGAGCUCAGUGCUCGGCAAGAGCGUGAACGAGAGAAGGACAGAGAACGAGAAAGAGAGGCAGACAGAAAUGCUAGAGCAUCCAGCUCCUCCCAUGACAAUCGAAUGAAUGAGGUCCACAUGGUUGCUCAAAGCCACAUACGUCCCUCUUUGAGCAACCACCCACCACUGUAGCUGCUGUUCCCCCUUACAUUGGACCGGAUACACCUGCCCUGCGGACCCUGAGUGAAUAUGCCCGCCCCCAUGUCAUGUCUCCCACCAAUCGCAACCACCUUUCUAUGUAUCAUUGAGUCCCGGCGACCCCCUGCUGGCCUACCACAUGCCUCCUCUGUACAGUGCUGAGCCCAGCCUGAGGGAGCGUGAGCUCAGGAACCUCAGAGAGCGGGAGCUGCGGGACAGGAUGAAGCCUGGCUUUGAGGUCAAACCCCCGGAUCUGGAAACUUUACACCCCUCAGCCAACCCCAUGGAGCAUUUUGCCAGACAUGGAGCACUGGCUCUUCCCCAUAUUCCUGGCCUCCUCACCACUUCACACCCUUCCAUCCAGGGUUUGCCCAUGUUGAGCGAGAACGGAUGGCACUGGCAGGACCUCAGCUACGCCCAGAGCUGAGUUAUGCCGAGCGGCUCACAGCAGAGCGGCUUCAUGCCGAGAGGAUGGCUUCGGUGGCAAAUGACCCGGCUGCAAGACUGCAGAUGUUAAAUGUGACACCGCAUCAUCACCAGCACUCCCACAUUCACUCUCACUUGCACCUUCAUCAACAGGAUCCCC